UACGUAGGGGGCAAGCGUUGUCCGGAAUUAUUGGGCGUAAAGGGCACGCAGGCGGUUCCUUAAGUCUGAUGUGAAAGCCCGUGGCUCAACCACGGAGGGCCAUUGGAAACUGGGGAACUUGAGAACUGAAGAGGAGAGUGGAAUUCCACGUGUAGCGGUGAAAUGCGUAGAUAUGUGGAGGAACACCAGUGGCGAAGGCGACUCUCUGGUCGGUUUCUGACGCUGAGGUGCGAAAGCGUGGGUAGCAAACAGG
This 253-nucleotide unclassified non-coding RNA is filed under the name uncultured Bacillaceae bacterium. RNAcentral describes it as "contains 16S-23S intergenic spacer region". It matches the Rfam family "Bacterial small subunit ribosomal RNA", at positions 524 to 776 of the family's 1533-position model. Lineage: Bacteria; Bacillati; Bacillota; Bacilli; Caryophanales; Bacillaceae. The record is from RNAcentral.